RNAcentral lists this ribosomal RNA (509 nucleotides) under uncultured bacterium. Its description in RNAcentral is "bacterial SSU rRNA". It matches the Rfam family "Bacterial small subunit ribosomal RNA", at positions 28 to 529 of the family's 1533-position model. The record is from RNAcentral.
GAUGAACGCUGGCGGCGUGCCUAACACAUGCAAGUCGAACGGGUGUGGUAUCAGGGAAAAGGGGUUUACUUCUUUGACCAGAUAACACACUAGUGGCGGACGGGUGAGUAACGCGUGGAUAACCUGCCUUAUACAGGGGGAUAACAGGGAGAAAUUCUUGCUAAUACCCCAUAGGUAUGUCUGACGCAUGUUGGACAUAUUAAAGCUUUGGCGGUAUAAGAUGGGUCCGCGUCUGAUUAGCUAGUUGGUGGGGUAAAGGCCCACCAAGGCGACGAUCAGUAGCCGGCUUGAGAGAGUGGACGGCCACAUUGGGACUGAGACACGGCCCAAACUCCUACGGGAGGCAGCAGUGGGGAAUAUUGCACAAUGGGGGAAACCCUGAUGCAGCGACGCCGCGUGAAGGAAGAAGGUCUUCGGAUCGUAAACUUCUAUCAGCAGGGAAGAAGGAAGUGACAGUACCUGAGUAAGAAGCCCCGGCUAACUACGUGCCAGCAGCCGCGGUAAUAGUA